This 867-nucleotide long non-coding RNA is filed under the name Gallus gallus (chicken). The record is from RNAcentral. Lineage: Eukaryota; Metazoa; Chordata; Aves; Galliformes; Phasianidae.
GCUUGUCUUUGAUAAGACGAAUAUUAUUGACUGCCAGAGAGGCAUACGGAGACAAGGCAGUCAUGAUGGAUUCCACUACUGUGUGAGGAGCAAUGUUUCGGAGAAUGAUGGUAUCGCAGUAAUAAUCCACAGACUGAACGGCUUCUGCUGUUCCAGGUGGCACCUCCUGUUCUGAAUCAAAUUUGUCCGCACCGCAGCGGAAGCAUUUCAGUCUCCUUCUGAAGUUGUACAGACAGCACUUGUUGCAAAGCCAGUCCUCAAAUUUAGGCCUGGGGUUGCUGUAGUGCAUCGCAAUCUGCUUCCCCUGAAUCACCAGCUUUUUCUGCAAAAGAAGUGGUUUCAAUUAUUCCUGUAUCGAGGCACACACGUUCAUUUUCCCAUGGCAGAGCACCCUUCGGAGGAAUCAGUGCUCCUGAAUUAAAUGGACAACAUAUGGGGAGGAUGUGGAGGACAACCACCGCCACCUACACCCUGCCCAUCCAAUCCUGCAGAGAGGAGGACGAGGGCAGUAAGAGAAUGGGAUGUGGAGCAAAGAUAAACGGAAUCAGGGAGUGCUGAAAAAGUUGCCAAACACUAAACGCUGACAUGGAACCAGGAAGUGUCUCGAAGGAGACAAAGUCCUAACUUGCUGCAUUCAGGAUUAACACAUUUUUAGGAGUCUCCUUGCCCCGUUUCUAUUCACUUCUGGUAUAGCAUUGAGCGACUUUUUAAACAUGUCCUUAGGUGACUGCUUCACUUCUUCCCCUACUCCGAAUUCCCCAGACCUUUAAACAACCACAUUUGGAUUACUUUUCCAAGCACUUUCUUCAGAAGCGUCCCUUUGUAAAUACAGUAAUUCCUUCCAAAGGGACCCUGUUUAGACUUCUU